Erpetoichthys calabaricus (reedfish) is the source of this 1958-nucleotide long non-coding RNA. RefSeq lists it as uncharacterized. The transcript has 2 exons. The record is from RefSeq and is a predicted model, not a curated record. NCBI's taxonomy places the organism in Eukaryota, Metazoa, Chordata, Cladistia, Polypteriformes, Polypteridae.
CAGAUCUUUGUAGACACGAAGCACACCUGAAAUGCAUGUAUUCCAAAUAACAAUAUACUCGAUUAUUUACUAUACAACUCCAGAUCUCACAUGCAGAUAAGGAGCAUUGGCUUGAGCUGGGAGAACUUUUUGCCCCAGCUGAGCUCCGGUGGUGGGUUUGGAUAGCAGGCUGCUUGCUGCUUGUGCUGAUCGACACAUUUACAACACAAAAGACGAUGAUUGAGAGGUGCGAAGGGAUUUAAGGUGGGCCGGGAUUACGAGUUUUUUCGUAGGCUUCAGGGAUUCUAGUGUUAAAGAUUUCCGGUCUUUUCAGUAGCUUUCCCUGCAGGCUGACCUCUGAAUCCUGAUCAACAUUAGGCCUCAUAUAUUCUGCCAUCUUCCUAUUUAUCUUCAGUCCUUUAUCUAACUUCCUCUCCAUUUCCUCUUUUCUGGUGCUACACAACACAAUGUCAUCAGCAAAAAGUCUGCACCAGUGAGGUUGGUCCUUCUUCCCACGAGUCAACACCUCUAUAACCAGAUCAAAGAGGUACAAGGGCCCUGGUACAGACCUCCUGUAAUUGGUGUUUUUCUUCUUACCUUAAAACUGCUUCUAACCCAUGUCCUGACCCCCCUCAUAUGCAUCCUGGACCAUCCUCAAAUGCUUCUCUGGUCCUCCUUUCUCUCUCAUGCACCUCCAGAUCACUUGACAUGGCACGCCAUCCUUGGCUUUUACAGAUGCUCCACCCAGAGCAAGGAAGCUGAGCAAACAGGCACGUCUGCACCUCAUUCUAGGUGACAAUUGUGUAUGUAAUGCUUGAUUCUUUUCCUAUCAAAGAACAGGAGCACUAACUACUAAAUGACAUACAAAUGACGGCGUACUGCCAGACACCAACUGGACCUUGAUAAAGUUGGACAAUGCACCUCACUCAAUUUUGGAACCUUCCUCUUUGUCGCACCCCGUCUCAUACACCAGGUCUCGAACCCCUAAUCUAGGUGAAUAUUACUGAUCAGUCGCUACAAUUUUGUAAGUGGAAAAUGAUAUAUAAAACUAUAUAUAAAGACUAUAAAGAAAUUUACAUUAAAACAGAGCUGCUUGUACAUUCUGUUUUCCUAUAUCUCUAUGCCAGCAUCAGGAGGUGCGAUGCAAGAACAAACCCUGCGGGACGCCUGUCCACUCACACUCACACCCACACAUUCACACUCAUAUUUGGUCAAUAUUGGUUUAGCAGUUUGGGAUGGGGAGAGGAAACAACAAAGGCAACUAGAAAUACAAAGUAGGCUGAGCAGCGGUCUGGGCAGCGUCCAUGAGGGCUCAUGUUUAUGUGAAUAAAAAGAGUCCAAGUAAAAAAGGGAUAUCGUACACUGUGAGCUUCGAAAAAUGCAUUACUGUGCUUAAUUUUGGUAUUUGUACAUUAAUAGGGUCUCAUGUGAAUAAAAUGAAAAGGUGUUUAUUUAUUUGUGUUGUGCUCUUGGUGACAAACCCUUUAGACUUAAACGCUCAUUCCUGUUAAACGUAUAGCAUAUCUGUAUCUGGGCGAUCACGUCGUUAUCUGACACCAGGGAAAAGGAAUCAAAGUCAUUGUGCUGCUUUGACGGCUGAUGUCACCUGCUAUAUUUGAGAGGGUUGUUAUGUGUAACGUCUACUUUUCCUUUGAAAGUUAUUGAUUUAUUUUUUCUCUGCUCUCAAAAUUAUUGUUACAUCUGUAAGCUGUUGUUUGAGUAAAGGACAAAACCGUGAUCAUUCUUUUUCGAUGUAUCUGUAGGGAUUUUUAUGUAACAGUUGCAAAUAGCUAACAUACAAAUGUAAACAUUUAACUUGAAUCUAUUGUUACUACUGAGCUACAUGUAUUUCAGUGUACAGUAUGCUUAACAUUGCUGCUGUAACUGAGUGCUGGAGAUAAGGGGACAUGAAAGAGAGUUACGAAAAAUGUACAGGUUAAAAAUUGUAUUAUAUACAGUAAAUGUUUAUGUACAAUUAA